AGCGGCAAGGGAUUGGUGUUGUUGUCUUACUCCAGGAUCCGUCACCUGUUGGGAAGAUCUUGAGCAUCAGUUUCUUAACAAAUUCUCCCCUGUGCGGUAUGGUCAUAGCAACGAUCCUGGGUGGACUGACCCUAGCUUAGGAUGUAUGAUGCUCCACAACAAUAUCAACCAUUUUCGAAUUCUUGUAUGUCUUCUCCACCUGUCCACGAACCACAACAGCUGCAGUUUCAUGGGCCUGCCC
RNAcentral lists this long non-coding RNA (241 nucleotides) under Vigna radiata. RNAcentral describes it as "long non-coding RNA (VRAD_LNC013009)". The record is from RNAcentral. Lineage: Eukaryota; Viridiplantae; Streptophyta; Magnoliopsida; Fabales; Fabaceae.